This 86-nucleotide transfer RNA is filed under the name Caudoviricetes sp. RNAcentral describes it as "tRNA-Tyr". It matches the Rfam family "tRNA". Rfam says of the family: Transfer RNA (tRNA) molecules are approximately 80 nucleotides in length. Their secondary structure includes four short double-helical elements and three loops (D, anti-codon, and T loops). Lineage: Duplodnaviria; Heunggongvirae; Uroviricota; Caudoviricetes. The record is from RNAcentral.
CGAGAGAUGUCCGAGUGGCUAAAGGAGGGAGUCUGUAAAACUCUUGGCUAAGUUCUUCGUAGGUUCGAAUCCUACUCUCUCGACCA